RNAcentral lists this ribosomal RNA (400 nucleotides) under uncultured Geobacteraceae bacterium. RNAcentral describes it as "bacterial SSU rRNA". It matches the Rfam family "Bacterial small subunit ribosomal RNA", at positions 1 to 390 of the family's 1533-position model. The record is from RNAcentral. Lineage: Bacteria; Pseudomonadati; Thermodesulfobacteriota; Desulfuromonadia; Geobacterales; Geobacteraceae.
CUUAGAGUUUGAUCCUGGCUCAGAACGAACGCUGGCGGCGUGCUUAACACAUGCAAGUCGAACGUGAUCCGGAGCUUGCUCCGGUGAAAGUGGCGCACGGGUGAGUAACGCGUGGAUAACCUGCCCUGGUAUCUGGGAUAACAUCUCGAAAGGGGUGCUAAUACCGGAUAAGCCUACGGAUUCCUCGGAGUCUGCAGGAAAAGGUGGCCUCUAUUUAUAAGCUACCGUAUCAUGAUGGGUCCGCGUACCAUUAGCUAGUUGGUGGGGUAAAGGCUCACCAAGGCAACGACGGGUAGGGGACCUGAGAGGGUGACCCCCCACACUGGGACUGAGACACGGCCCAGACUCCUACGGGAGGCAGCAGUGAGGAAUAUUGCGCAAUGGACGAAAGUCAGACGCA